Molecule: ribosomal RNA, 362 nt
Filed under: Stylodrilus heringianus
Lineage: Eukaryota; Metazoa; Annelida; Clitellata; Lumbriculida; Lumbriculidae
Description: partial 16S ribosomal RNA
Rfam family: Bacterial large subunit ribosomal RNA
Source: RNAcentral
GCCUGCCCAUGACUCUUAAAUGGCCGCGGUAUCCUGACCGUGCAAAGGUAGCAUCAUAAUUUGCCCGUUAAUUGCGGGCUAGCAUGAACGGGUUUACGAAAUAGUAACUGUCUCAAAAAAAAAAAAAAAAAUUUCCUAUAGAUGAAGAGAUCUAAAUAUAAAUGUAGGACAAGAAGACCCUAUAGAGCUUUACCAUAAUAUAUAUAUAUUAGAUUAUUUGGUUUGGUUGGGGCGACUAAGGAAUUAAUCAUCCUAAUAAAUAAAGAUUAACAAAUCAUUAUUAUGACCCUAUAAAGAUCAAAGAAUUAAGCUACCUUAGGGAUAAGCAGGCUAAUCCUUUCGGAGAGACCUUAUUAAUGAAA